GGUUGUGCCAUGGUCGUGUCCGGGACCAAUAUCGCCUGGGAGUGGGCGUGCAAGGGACUAACCACCUUCGAAAAGCACGCGACGUACAGCGGGUUCCGCCAAGCC
Molecule: non-coding RNA, 105 nt
Filed under: Goniomonas pacifica
Lineage: Eukaryota; Cryptophyceae; Goniomonadida; Goniomonadaceae
Source: RNAcentral